This 490-nucleotide ribosomal RNA is filed under the name uncultured bacterium. RNAcentral describes it as "partial 16S ribosomal RNA". It matches the Rfam family "Bacterial small subunit ribosomal RNA", at positions 30 to 523 of the family's 1533-position model. The record is from RNAcentral.
AUUGAACGCUGGCGGCAGGCUUAACACAUGCAAGUCGAACGGACUACUUCGGUAGUUAGUGGCGAACGGGUGAGUAAUGCCUAGGAAUCUGCCGUUUAAUGGGGGAUAACUGACCGAAAGGUCUGCUAAUACCGCAUACGCCCUACGGGGGAAAGCAGGGGAUCUUCGGACCUUGCGUUAAACGAUGAGCCUAGGUCGGAUUAGCUAGUUGGUGAGGUAAAGGCUCACCAAGGCGACGAUCUGUAGCGGGUCUGAGAGGAUGAUCCGCCACACUGGAACUGAGACACGGUCCAGACUCCUACGGGAGGCAGCAGUGGGGAAUAUUGGACAAUGGGGGCAACCCUGAUCCAGCCAUGCCGCGUGUGUGAAGAAGGCCUUUUGGUUGUAAAGCACUUUAAGCGAGGAGGAGGCUUUGUGGGUUAAUACCCUGCAAAGUGGACGUUACUCGCAGAAUAAGCACCGGCUAACUCUGUGCCAGCAGCCGCGGUAA